This is a non-coding RNA of Megalobrama amblycephala (Wuchang bream), 978 nucleotides long. Lineage: Eukaryota; Metazoa; Chordata; Actinopteri; Cypriniformes; Xenocyprididae. The record is from the annotation of a RefSeq genome assembly.
AUCUAACACAGUUAAAUGACAAUCACAAACAGCAGCAGGAAGUUCAGUGAGGAGGAAGUUCCUGUGUGUGUUUGUGACUGAUCUGCAGUGACUUACAGCUCAAGCACUGAGAGCCUCAACAGAGAACUGAUCUGAUCUGAUUCAACAUGGACACAUGCUUCAUACUGAUUCUCAUUGUGGGGACAGGUUUGGUGACUGGAGACAACAUUGAGCCAGAUAAAGAGAAAGAGAAAAACACAAAAGAAAGAGAAACUGUCAAGAUGAGCUGCUCAUAUAGUACAACUAGUCAGUAUGUUUGGCUUUACUGGUACAGACAAUAUCCAAACAAAGAACCUCAAUAUUUAUUACUCAAAAAUGCACGAUCAGCGAGUGCUUAUUAUGUCACCUCUGAUGAUCGGUUUCAGUCGACUACAUCACAAACAUCCACUGAACUCACUAUUACUGAUGUUCGUCUGUCAGAUUCAGCUCUCUAUUAUUGUGCUCUAAGAGUUGGAGCCCAGUGAUACAAAAUAUGAAACACGUCGUACAAAAACCUGAAGCUCUUUUCACUUUGAACCGAUCUAGUGAAAACCACAAUCAAAACCACAAUCUAUCCAGCCCCAAAUAUAAUAAAAUAUGUGGUAACACCUGUGUGAGGCUGAAUUAGGCCUGUUAAAAAAACGUAAGAAACAUUAAUAUUCUCACGUUCCCUGUCAUUCCCGAACUACAUUUCCAACAAUCCUCCCCAGCAAUCACCUGAGCUCACUUCACCAAUCAGUAAUCACCACACCCAGCUGCAGCACAUUAUCUGGACUAUUUAAGCCACUCACUUCCUGUCAUACUUUGCGAGGUCUUGUUAACUCUUGUUACAUUUCUGAGCGUUCAUCACUCUUGUUUGUCUGCCUGUUUCUGAUCCUGUCUGUUCCCUGUGUAUUAUUCUCUGCUGCCUGCCCUUUGGACCUUUUGCUUUGUUUUGGAUUUACGAUUGUUAUCUGCCAG